AUGACCAGUGUUUUAGACUGGGAAAAGGACCUUAAAACAGGUGGAUCCUGGUUUGUUUUUUUAAGCUUGUGUUUUGCUGCUCUUCGGCUAUUUUCAGGUUUGUGGGUCGUUUCAAAUCUCGCAAGGAGCGGGAGGCUGAGCUAGGUGCAAAAGCCAAGGAGUUUACCAAUGUCUACAUCAAGAACUUUGGGGAUGAUAUGGAUGACGAUCGACUGAAGGAGCUUUUUGACAAAUAUGGUAAAACACUCAGUGUAAAAGUAAUGACAGACCCCACUGGCAAAUCCAGGGGCUUUGGAUUUGUUAGUUAUGAAAAGCAUGAGGACGCUAACAAGGCUGUAGAGGACAUGAAUGGCACUGAACUCAAUGGUAAGACUGUGUUUGUGGGCCGGGCUCAGAAGAAGAUGG
Monopterus albus (swamp eel) is the source of this 405-nucleotide long non-coding RNA. RefSeq lists it as uncharacterized. Lineage: Eukaryota; Metazoa; Chordata; Actinopteri; Synbranchiformes; Synbranchidae. The transcript is spliced from 3 exons. The record is from RefSeq and is a predicted model, not a curated record.